Molecule: ribosomal RNA, 253 nt
Filed under: uncultured bacterium
Lineage: Bacteria
Description: partial 16S ribosomal RNA
Rfam family: Bacterial small subunit ribosomal RNA
Source: RNAcentral
UACAGAGGAGCCAAGCGUUGUCCGGAUUGACUGGGCGUAAAGCGCACGCAGGCGGUUGCGCGCGUGGGGUGUGAAAUCUGGCCGCUUAACGGCCAGGCGCCAUCCCAUACGGCGCGACUGGAGUGAUGCAGAGGUCGAUGGAAUUGCCGGUGUAGUGGUGAAAUGCGUAGAGAUCGGCAGGAACACCCAGGGGGAAACCAGUCGACUGGGCAUCUACUGACGCUGAGGUGCGAGAGCGUGGGGAGCAAACCGG